CACUCCUACGGGAGGCAGCAGUGGGGAAUAUUGCACAAUGGGCGGAAGCCUGAUGCAGCAACGCCGCGUGCGGGAUGACGGCCUUCGGGUUGUAAACCGCUUUCGCCUGUGACGAAGCGUGAGUGACGGUAAUGGGUAAAGAAGCACCGGCUAACUACGUGCCAGCAGCCGCGGUGAUACGUAGGGUGCGAGCGUUGUCCGGAUUUAUUGGGCGUAAAGGGCUCGUAGGUGGUUGAUCGCGUCGGAAGUGUAAUCUUGGGGCUUAACCCUGAGCGUGCUUUCGAUACGGGUUGACUUGAGGAAGGUAGGGGAGAAUGUAAUUCCUGGUGGAGCGGUGGAAUGCGCAGAUAUCAGGAGGAACACCAGUGGCGAAGGCGGUUCUCUGGGCCUUUCCUGACGCUGAGGAGCGAAAGCGUGGGGAGCGAACAGGCUUAGAUACCCGGGUAGUCCCA
Molecule: ribosomal RNA, 452 nt
Filed under: uncultured organism
Description: partial 16S ribosomal RNA
Rfam family: Bacterial small subunit ribosomal RNA
Source: RNAcentral